AAGCUUUUUCCUUUCAAUUGAAUCUAAAACUAUACUGUACUUCACACUUGAUUGGUCCUUCAGAUGGAAGGAUUCAAUAUCCCUGCUGGAAAUCAGCUCGUCUUCUUCACACAGUGCUGUUGAACGUGGAAAGAACUUAUUUCUGAGGCAUAAUUACCAGCUCUAACAUAUGAAAAGUUGAUGAUAGACAGACAUACAGCAUAAAUGUAUCGAGGACAAAAAAAUAUCUUCUGAAUGCAGCCGUCAGCGAGCCAUUGAAUGUCCUGUAGCAAAGGCCUCAGUGACAAAGACAAUGUCAAGUGCUGACUACUCACCUUAUAGACCAGGAGCUGGGAAUCUAACUCCAGGCCCUUAGUCAGGUCACACCUUCAUAGUCCACUGGGGGCAGUAUGUUCUGCUAGCUGGAACAUCCAUUUCUGAGUGCUGGAAUCCCACCAUCUGCUGUACCUUUGGUCCACACUCAAAGAAGUCAGCAGGUAUUCCUGGAGAUGACAUCAGCAGGAGACCGGAUGUUGCCAAAGAAGAAAACAGGCACUGCCAAGCGCGAAAGGCAGCUAGUGCCGGUAUAAGGAUGCCCCCUCUCCCUCUCAAAUAGCUGGAUUCAGUGACCAACGUGCAGUUUGGGAGACAUUUAUCUUCUUACAUGUGUGAGACAAGAGAUUGAGGCAAGCUUAUGGAACUUCCUAGAAGAAAAAUUAUCAAAAUCCUCAGCACAAACUCAUUACUGUUUUCUUAAAAUGCUUAGCCUCUGUGUAUGUGUGUAUGUACUGAAUGCAGGGUAACAAUUCCUACAUAUACCUUUAGUAGUCAAUAUGCAUAGAAUAGAAAAUAGAGCUGUGAUAAUUAUUUUUUAAUCCUGGUUAACUAAUUAAAAGUGCUGUAUGAGAAUACAAGACAGGUAGUCCCAGUCUUCCUUUGCAUGAGAUUUUUAUGUCUUUUCCUUGUCAACAAAGCUGAAGCCGAAAUGGCCAUGUGAGACUGUGUAAGAGCUUGACAUGAAAAGAUGGGGUCUGAGGCUGGUGCUAGGAUAUUUCAUUUUGCCCACCUAGGUGGGUGUUAUUGAAUCUGUGUCUCCUGAAAGAGCAAGCUGUGUGAUAAUUGUCUUUUCAUCUGUUGAUGAAAAGUCGCUUGCUCAUGUUAAUGUUCCCUGGGACAGAAAGGCCAGAUCCAGUUUAGAUACAACUGUUUCUCAUCUUUCGUCCGACCUUGAUAGCACUAUCACAUCAUUUACCAGUGCACUCUGGCAAAACUGAUUGCAGCAAUCAUCUUGUAUGUCCAUGUGUAGAGGUGUGAGGUGGGGUUGUCUCUUUUGACUGAAUCUGUAAGUAACAGCAUUGCUAAAAGCUUUGCCUCUUUAUCCCAUCUACAUCUUCUAUCAUAUACACUGAGUUAGUGACAGCACAGGAGGUAAUUGUCAGCCUGCCUGGAAGAUCCAAUUUGUGCAUUAAAAUAAUGCUGUCCUGAUCUUGUAGCACCAGUUUGUUUAUUCGUUUUUUUGUGAAGUAUUUUUGCUCACCAGCCCAUAAACCCACAC
RNAcentral lists this long non-coding RNA (1534 nucleotides) under Homo sapiens (human). RNAcentral's name for it is "HSALNT0286771". Lineage: Eukaryota; Metazoa; Chordata; Mammalia; Primates; Hominidae. The record is from RNAcentral.